CUGAACUUUGACUAAGAUUUCACAAACACUGAUUGUACUCUUGCUUCAGUAAAACCUCCAAGAGCUAUCUUUUCACUAAAAAGACUGUAACACAAAAUCACCAUGUCAAUUAAAGUUUGCAUUCUGUCGUGUUUGCCUUCCAUAUUGUUUUUGCCAUGUUUGCCUUCUGUAUUGUUUUUCUGAAAGUUUACAAAUAUUAAAACUGACCUCCAUGACUUGAUUGUGCUGGAAAAUAUCUGCACUGUCUAGUGGGGUUUUAGAAUGUGAAGGGCAAAGUACUUACAGGAAGGAAAUUGUAAGUUUUCUCUCCAUAUAAUCUAUUAGCAAGUUUCAGAAUAUAAGACGCUCCACGUUUGUUGAUAUCAGCAUUCAGACUCUGGAAUCUUGAAUGAAC
Molecule: long non-coding RNA, 394 nt
Filed under: Homo sapiens (human)
Lineage: Eukaryota; Metazoa; Chordata; Mammalia; Primates; Hominidae
Description: HSALNT0099856
Source: RNAcentral